UCUGGUGAUGAUUACGAGAAGGUCACACCCGUUCCCAUCCCGAACACGGCAGUUAAGCUUCUUAGUGCCGACGAUACUUAGACGGUUGCGUCUUGGUAAAAUAGGUAGUCGCCAGAUU
Molecule: ribosomal RNA, 118 nt
Filed under: Pseudobacteroides cellulosolvens
Lineage: Bacteria; Bacillati; Bacillota; Clostridia; Eubacteriales; Oscillospiraceae
Source: RNAcentral